CUUUUAGAUCCUGACUUUCUUGUGUGAACACAGAAACAUAGGACUGAAAAAUGUGCAGUAAAGGUUAAUACCGCUAUGCAACUUUGUGUUGUGAUAUUGUGAAGGAAAACAAAGGAUGGGCCAUAAAAGGGAAUGAACCAUGCUCUAAUAUCACUAUCAUCCUUCACUGAAGCCCAGAAGAUAUGGCGCAGUCUCACCAAGAUGAGAGUAGAAUUCUUCAGUCCUUCAUAAAUGAUUUUGCCUUGCAGUGAACACAGUGUUCAACUUUGUCAGUAGACGGCGCUGGAGGGGCAUCGCAGGAAGAAGAAGGAGGGGUUAUCUUCCUGGUCCCAAAGUGCUACUUUUGCUUUUCCUUGCACCUGCUGUAUAGAACGUAGUGGUGGGGGAGAUGGCGGACAUUCUCCCCAACUCCAAGUUCAGAGUGGCAGUCCCUCUAUGACCUUGCAGCCCUCCUGAUGCGGGCUGCACAAUCCAGGACUUCUGCCUGCAUUGCCUAGACGCCAUCUGCAUUCCCACGCACUAACCUCAGCUUGACAGCCUCAGAGGAUUGUUUCCCUCGGUCUACCGAACGUGAGCUCCAAGCCUCCUGCAGGACUCGCUGACCCACCACCCUUGUCUCGCCUGAGCUCUGGAAUGUUUCUUGCGUGCCCAGUGAAUAUGGACCAGAUGUAGCCCCAACAACCCAGCAAAAUUGUCUUCCACCUGUUGGGCUGCAACUCUAACUUCUUCAAUGAGAUGGGAACCCCAUUCUUGGGGAUAGGGCCUCCCUUCCGAAUUUGUUCUUUCUGAGGCAUUCUCUCUCUCUCUCCUGGGGUAGCCUUCAGAGUUCUCUUCACAUUUUUAUAGGGAACCUAGUGUGUCAGGAGUCUCCAAGACCAUCCCUAAUUUCCAUGAUUCACUAGAAGGAUUCACAGGAAUCAGCAUAUAGUUGUACUCAGGGUUAUGAUUUAUUACAAGAAAAGAAUACACAGAAAAAUCAGCAAAAGGAAAAGGUGCAUGGAACCAGGAGCAAGGUUACAAGAAUCUCUACCCAGUGGGGUCACAGACUCAUUUAAUUCCUCCAACAUCAAAUAGAAACAACACAUGUGAAGUACUGUCUACCGGGGAGCUCGUUAGAAACUCAGUGGCCAGUGAUUUUAUUCGAGUCUGGUCACAUAGGCACCCUCUGCCUAGUAAAUGCCAAAAUUGUAGAUUCCCAGAGGGAAAGAUGGCGUUCAGCAUAAAACAUAUUGUUUGCGUAAACAGCUUAGGUACCGUGAACCCUUCUUAUCAAGGAUGGUGAAAAUCCUUCCAAAACGCAAGUCAAAGUCCAACCUUGGAGCAGGCCUUUCAAGGAAAUAGUCUGUGCCUGUUAUGUUAACUUUUGUUCUGCAUACCCAGCAUAGUUUAAUGUUCUUUAUAUUAAACUUCCUUUG
This is a long non-coding RNA of Diceros bicornis minor, 1415 nucleotides long. RefSeq lists it as uncharacterized. The record is from RefSeq and is a predicted model, not a curated record. Lineage: Eukaryota; Metazoa; Chordata; Mammalia; Perissodactyla; Rhinocerotidae. The transcript has 3 exons.